GAUCCUGGCUCAGGAUGAACGCUAGCUACAGGCUUAACACAUGCAAGUCGAGGGGAAACGACAUUGAAAGCUUGCUUUUAAUGGGCGUCGACCGGCGCACGGGUGCGUAACGCGUAUCGAACCUGCCCUUUACUCAGGGAUAGCCUUGCGAAAGUAAGAUUAAUACCUGAUAGUGUUGCGAUGGAGGCAUCUUGUUGCAAACUAAAGAUUUUAUUGGGUAAAGGAUGGCGAUGCGU
RNAcentral lists this ribosomal RNA (236 nucleotides) under uncultured bacterium. RNAcentral describes it as "partial 16S ribosomal RNA". It matches the Rfam family "Bacterial small subunit ribosomal RNA", at positions 15 to 236 of the family's 1533-position model. The record is from RNAcentral.